GGGGAUUUAGCUCAGCGGCAUAAGCACCUGCCUUGCAAGCACGCAGUUGUGGGUUCGAUUCCCAGUACCA
Cavia porcellus (domestic guinea pig) is the source of this 70-nucleotide non-coding RNA. The record is from Rfam. NCBI's taxonomy places the organism in Eukaryota, Metazoa, Chordata, Mammalia, Rodentia, Caviidae.